This 504-nucleotide ribosomal RNA is filed under the name uncultured bacterium. Its description in RNAcentral is "partial 16S ribosomal RNA". It matches the Rfam family "Bacterial small subunit ribosomal RNA", at positions 29 to 523 of the family's 1533-position model. The record is from RNAcentral.
AAUGAACGCUGGCGGCAUGCCUUACACAUGCAAGUCGAACGGCAGCAUGGAGAGCUUGCUCUCUGAUGGCGAGUGGCGAACGGGUGAGUAAUGCAUCGGAACGUACCGUGUAAUGGGGGAUAACGUAGCGAAAGUUAAGCUAAUACCGCAUACGACCUGAGGGUGAAAGCAGGGGCUCGCAAGACCUUGCGUUAUACGAGCGGCCGAUGUCAGAUUAGCUAGUUGGUGAGGUAAAGGCUCACCAAGGCGACGAUCUGUAGCGGCUCUGAGAGGAUGAUCCGCCACACUUGGACGGAGACACGGCCCAGACUCCUACGGGGUGCAGCAGUGGGGAAUUUUGGACAAUGGGGGCAACCCUGAUCCAGCCAGGCCGCGUGAGUGAAGAAGGCCUUCGGGUUGUAAAGCUCUUUCGGCCGGGAAGAAAUCGCACAGGCUAAUACUCUGUGUGUAUGACGGUACCGGCAUAAGAAGCACCGGCUAACUACGUGCCAGCCGCCGCCGUAA